Molecule: ribosomal RNA, 740 nt
Filed under: uncultured bacterium
Lineage: Bacteria
Description: bacterial SSU rRNA
Rfam family: Bacterial small subunit ribosomal RNA
Source: RNAcentral
UCGAACGCGAAAGUCCCCUUCUGGGGGAUAAGUAGAGUGGCGCACGGGUGAGUAACACGUAGGUAAUCUACCUUCGGGUGGGGAAUAACCCAGGGAAACUUGGGCUAACACCGCAUAAUGCAGCGGCACCACAUGGUGACAGUUGUUAAAGCGGGGGAUCUUAGGACCUCGCGCCUGAAGAGGAGCCUGCGGCGGAUUAGCUAGUUGGUGAGGUAACGGCUCACCAAGGUGACGAUCCGUAGCCGGCCUGAGAGGGCGGUCGGCCACACUGACACUGACAUACGGGUCAGACUCCUACGGGAGGCAGCAGUCGGGAAUUUUGGGCAAUGGGCGAAAGCCUGACCCAGCAACGCCGCGUGAAGGAUGAAAUCCCUCGGGAUGUAAACUUCGCAAGAAUGGGAAGAAUUAGUAGGGGUCAAUACCCCCUAUGAUGACGGUACCAUUUGUAAGCUCCGGCUAACUCCGUGCCAGCAGCCGCGGUAAUACGGGGGGAGCAAGCGUUGUUCGGAUUUACUGGGCGUAAAGGGCGCGUAGGCGGUCAGCACAAGUCAGUUGUGAAAUCUCCGGGCUUAACUCGGAGAGGUCAACUGAUACUGUGCGACUAGAGUGCGGAAGGGGCAACUGGAAUUCUCGGUGUAGCGGUGAAAUGCGUAUAUAUCGAGAGGAACACCUGCGGCGAAGGCAGGUUGCUGGGCCGACACUGACGCUGAUGCGCGAAAGCCAGGGGAGCGAACGGGAUU